This 336-nucleotide unclassified non-coding RNA is filed under the name soil metagenome. Its description in RNAcentral is "partial contains 5.8S ribosomal RNA, internal transcribed spacer 2, and large subunit ribosomal RNA". The stretch from base 1 to 120 matches the Rfam family "5.8S ribosomal RNA", at positions 35 to 154 of the family's 154-position model. The record is from RNAcentral.
GAUGAAGAACGUAGCGAAAUGCGAUAAGUAAUGCGAAUUGCAGAAUUCCGUGAGUCAUCGAAUCUUUGAACGCACAUUGCGCCCUUUGGUAUUCCGAAGGGCAUGCCUGUUCGAGCGUCAUUUCAACCAUCAAGCCCCCGGCUUGUGUUGGGGACCUGCGGCUGCCGCAGGCCCUGAAAAGCAGUGGCGGGCUCGCUGUCACACCGAGCGUAGUAGCAUACAUCUCGCUCUGGGCGUGCUGCGGGUUCCGGCCGUUAAACCACCUUCAUAACCCAAGGUUGACCUCGGAUCAGGUAGGAAGACCCGCUGAACUUAAGCAUAUCAAUAAGCGGAGGA